GAUAAACGCUGGCGGCGUGCCUAACACAUGCAAGUCGAACGAUCCCGCAAGGGAGAGUGGCGGAAGGGUGAGUAACACGUGGGAAUCUACCUCCUCGCAGGGAACAACCUCUCGAAAGAGAGGCUAAUACCCAAAGGGUCAGAAAUGAUCAGAGUCGAAAGGCGUGAGGAGAGGAGCCCGCGGCCCAUCGGCUAGUUGGUGAGGUAAUGGCUUACCAAGGCUACGACGGGUAGGGGAUCUGAGAGGAUGUCCCCCACACUGGAACUGAAACACGGUCCAGACGCCUACGGGUGGCAGCAGUGAGGAAUAUUGGACAAUGGGCGAAAGCCCGAUCCAGCAACGCCGCGUGGAGGAUGAAGGCCUUCGGGUCGUAAACUUCUUUAGAGGGAGACGAGAAAGGACGGUAUCCCUAGAAUAAGCGACGGCAAACUACGUGCCAGCAGCCGCGGUAAU
Molecule: ribosomal RNA, 453 nt
Filed under: uncultured bacterium
Lineage: Bacteria
Description: bacterial SSU rRNA
Rfam family: Bacterial small subunit ribosomal RNA
Source: RNAcentral